Molecule: ribosomal RNA, 254 nt
Filed under: uncultured bacterium
Lineage: Bacteria
Description: partial 16S ribosomal RNA
Rfam family: Bacterial small subunit ribosomal RNA
Source: RNAcentral
UACGGGGGGGGCAAGCGUUGUUCGGAAUUACUGGGCGUAAAGGGCUCGUAGGCGGCCAACUAAGUCAGACGUGAAAUCCCUCGGCUUAACCGGGGAACUGCGUCUGAUACUGGAUGGCUCGAGUUUGGGAGAGGGAUGCGGAAUUCCAGGUGUAGCGGUGAAAUGCGUAGAGUAUCGUAAGGAAGACCAGUGGCGAAGGCGAGUCUCUGGACAGCAACUGACGCUGAGGCACGAAGGCCAGGGGAGCAAACGGG